AGCGAACGCUGGCGGCAGGCCUAACACAUGCAAGUCGAACGAACUCUUCGGAGUUAGUGGCGGACGGGUGAGUAACACGGGGGAACGUGCCUGUUGGUUCGGAAUAACUCAGGGAAACUUGUGCUAAUACCGAAUGUGCUCUUCGGGGAAAAGAUUUAACGCCAUUAGAGCGGCCCGCGACCGUUUAGCUUGUUGGUAAGGUAACCGCUCACGAAGGCGUCGAUCAGUAGCUGGGAUGAGAGAAAGACCAGCCACACUGGGACUAGGACACGGCCGAGACUACUACGCGAGGCGGCAAUGGGUGAUCUAGCGCAAUCGGGGGAAGGAUGACGGCGCCAGGCCUGGUGAAUGAUGAAGGUCUGAGGAUAGUGAAAUUCUUUCACCGGGGACGAUUAUGACGGUACCCGGAGAAGAAGCCCCGGCUAACUUCGUG
This 433-nucleotide ribosomal RNA is filed under the name uncultured bacterium. Its description in RNAcentral is "partial 16S ribosomal RNA". It matches the Rfam family "Bacterial small subunit ribosomal RNA", at positions 29 to 507 of the family's 1533-position model. The record is from RNAcentral.